Molecule: RNA transcript, 4975 nt
Organism: Rhincodon typus (whale shark)
Lineage: Eukaryota; Metazoa; Chordata; Chondrichthyes; Orectolobiformes; Rhincodontidae
Gene: ulk4
Gene name: unc-51 like kinase 4
Exons: 36
Source: RefSeq, a predicted model, not a curated record
AACGGUCGGAGCGCGAGGUGAUGGUCGACGAGUGUCCGGGGAGGGAGGUGAUGGUCAGUGAGUGUCCGGGAAGCGGAUGAUGGUCAUUGAUAAAUGUACAACAACAAAAAUGGAAAACUUUGUCCUUUAUGAGGAAAUUGGAAAAGGAAAUAAGUCAACCGUUUACAAAGGCAGAAGAAAGGGAACUAUCAACUUUGUAGCAAUUUUAUGUAUUGACAAAUCAAAACGGCCAGAGAUCACGAACAGAGUCCGACUUACUCAUGGCGUUGAUCAUCAGAACAUUGUACAAUUUCAUGAGUGGUAUGAAACUAGCAAUCACCUAUGGCUUGUUGUGGAACUGUGCACAGGAGGGUCAUUGGCAAUGGUCAUUGCCCAAGAUGAAUAUUUACAUGAAAAUAUAGUUAGACAGUUUGGUGUUGACUUGGUGAUGGGUUUGCGCCAUAUUCAUGAGCUGGGCAUCAUUUUUUGUGAUCUUAAUCCUGCUAAGAUAUUACUGGAUGGAUCAGGCACACUGAAAUAUAGUAACUUCAGUCUAGCCAAAGCAGAAGGAGAGAAUCUGGAUGAAUUCUUUUCAUUAAUUAGUGGAGAAGAUGACUUGGUUGAAAGCAAUAAUGGCACAGAAAGAACAAAGUCUAAAAUUCGGGCCCGAGGGUCUUCAACUUAUAUGGCUCCAGAAAUUCUGAAAGGUGAAGAUUAUUCUCCAGUCAGUGAUUUAUGGUCUCUAGGCUGUGUCCUGUAUGAGAUGUUCACAGGAAAGCCACCAUUUUUUUCGGAAAACCUUUCUGCAUUGGUUGAGAUGAUUUUGUGUGAAGAUCCACCACCACUCAAGCCUCAAGAAUCGACUGGACAAAAACCUUCCAUUGAAUUUCUUGGUUUGGUUGAAGAAUUGCUUCAGAAAGACCCUUUGAAAAGGUUAAAGUGGAGAGAUUUACUGCAGCAUCCUUUUUGGCAAGGAGCCUUUGCUAGAUGUGAAAAAUCCUUAAAUGAAGAAGAGAACAGAAAAUGCUUGAGUGACAGUGAAAUUUGUUCGCCAGUCAUUGCUAGUGAGUUGCAACAGACUGGAGGAAGAGAAAACCUGCAAACAUCAAGCCUUCAAAUGGACCGCAAACAGCAACAAAAAUCCUACAAAUUGGAAAACCCUGCUGAUUUACAGCCAAAAAGUGCACAGGACUUCAAUUCCAAGGAGUCCAUCUUCUUACUCAGCUCCCAUCCAACACCAAGAACUAGCUCGAAUGUAAGCCACAUCAGCAAUGUAACUCAGAGUGCUCCACCAAAAGGCUCCUCUAUUUCACCACAGGAUAUGGACUCCAAAAUAAGAGGGCUUAUAUACGUUGAGGCUGAUCUCACAGUGACUCCCAUUAUGGAUAACCCUAAGAUAUUGAAACCAACACCCAUGAAGUUUGAUGUGAAAACAUUAAGUGUUCCAGCCUAUUCAGCUGAGAAACUGGUAUCCCUAAAGGGACAGGACUGGACCAAUUUUAUACAACAGCUGUGCUCAUUGAUUGAGGCUGGAGAGAAGACAUCAGGGACUCCAAGAGCUAAGUUGAACUUGAUAUGCUAUCUUUGUUCAGUGACCAGUCACAAAGAUGUUGCUACAAGACUAAUCAACUCACAACUGUUUCCAGUGUUAACACAACAACUGCGCGCAGCUCCAAAUUGGGAUAUUCGUGCCAAAGUGAUUCGCCUGAUUGGCUUACUGGCGUGCCACACAACUGGACUGAAGGAUGAUGUACCAAUCACAGAAGGAGAUCCUGUUACUAAUCAUUUAGCUGCAAAGAUUGUUGAAAAUGUCUGUACCACUAAUUCAUCUCCUGCUCAAGGAUUCAUUACUGGAGAAAUUGGUCUGUUGCUUUGGUUCUUGUUUACACAUUCAACCAUGGACUCAUUGCGGGUGACAACUAUUUCGGCAUUAUGUAGGAUUACUCGCCAUUCUACUAGUGCUUUUCAAACUGUCAUUGACAAGGUCGGCCUAACAGCAGUGCUAAAUUCCCUAGUUGCUGGUAUAAGCCGUGUUCAGCAGUACAUGUUGACCAUGUUUAUUGCUAUGCUGUCAUCUGGUGUCCAUUUGCAAAGACUGGUGCAGGAAAAGGAAUUUGUCACAAAAGUUGCUCGUUUAUUGGAAAGUCCUUCAACAGUAAUUCGAGCGAAAGCUUUCCUUGUCUUAUUGGAAGUUUUAAGGAACAACAAGGAGAUGUUGCUGCUUUGUUGCCAGACAAGGUUAGUGAUGUAUAUUGAAAGAGACAGCAGAAAAGCCACACAGGGAAAGGAGCAGCAAAACAGCAAUGAAUACCUGUCUAAAUGCCUGGAUCUGUUAAUCUGUCAUAUUGUCCAGGAGCUGCCAGGAAUUAUAGGUGGUGUUCUCUCUGCACUGUGUAAUGUUUCUGGGCGCAAGCAUCCAUCAACAAUUCAAGCAAAACAUUUGAAGACAUGUCUACCCCUGAUGCCUGUUAUGCUCCAUCUUGUGACAGCUCAGAUAUUUAGACCCCAGAUUAUCACUGAGGAAUUUCUUGUCAACUGUGGCGCAUUGCUAAAUCACAUUAAAUCUAUUGAUUUGGGAGAAACAAAUUUAGAAAGUGCAGUAGGUCAAGCAGGUUCAGAAGAACUUGUCAGAAUAGUUUUCUCAUCAUGGGAAGCCAUUACUCAGCAUCCAAUGCUACUGAUUACCUAUCAUUCUACAAUUGUUGACUGCAUUCUUCCACCCUUGGUUUCCCUGGUGCUUAGUCAGAAUGUGGAGUGGCGGAUCUUCAGCCUGCGGUUACUGUCAGAAACCACAUCUCUUGUGGCAAACCAUGAGGCUGUGUUAGGAGAGAAAGGGGAGAAUCUUACUUCAAACAGCAAAUUACUGACCCUCAUCCAGGAAUCACUGCUCCCUCAAUAUGACCAGAUUUUGAUGGAACCUGAUCCAGUGCCACUAUAUGCCUUGAAGUUGCUCAUCACCUUAACAGACCAUAGCCCAGUUUUCAUCAGAGUAAUUGAAGAAAGCCAAGUUGUGCCUAUACUGUUCCAGAUUAUUUCGGACCAGCAGAACAAUAUACUAGGCACUGUCAUGCAAAACGUGGUAUUACUUCUCAACAACCUAGUUGCCUAUAAAGGAGCUAACAUGGAAAUGCUUUAUGAGCAAGGUCUAGUUGAUUCUGUCCGUAACUUAUUUAUUGAAACCACAGCUAUCUAUUUCGAAAUGGAUGAUAAAAGUGGCUUGAAGACCACCAAUAAUCUGUUGUUAUAUCUAAUUGAUACCUUACAUAACAUGCUGACGCAUAUAUCUAGUGUUGUCCGCUCUGCUUUGCAGGCUCAGAAGUCAGAUGCAGGAGGGGACACCCAGGCUGCUGAGGAACUUCUGCUUAUCAAUAAACCCCUGACAGACUUAAUUAGCCUGCUUAUUCAACUGCUCUCUAGUGAUGAUCCGGAUGUGCAUGAGAGUUCACUGCUUUCUCUAUCACUCAUGGUUCAGCUGUAUGGUGGUGAAAACCAAGACAGCUUAUCCCCAGAAAAUAUGGACUCUUUUGCAGAAGCUCUGAAACAUAGAAAGGAGCUAAAACAGCAGAAACUUCUACUUCGAGUCAUUAAAAGGCUGGUGAGUUCAAAUGAGAAACACGCAGAAAGCGUUAAGAGCAAAGGACACAUUCUCAUUGAAACCCUUCAAAAGCUGUCCCAAGCUGCCAGGUCCCAUGCUGAUAUUGCCAUUGGAUCUUUGGCUUCUGAAAUCCUGAAAAUCAUUGAGCAGUGAACAGGAGGUAACAGUAAAGCUCCCAGUAACACAUUGUCACUUGGGGCUGAAGAGGAAUUGACCUUGUCCAUUGGUCUCCGUGUUGGCUGGUCUUCUUUGAGCAAAAGAAAGGCUUGAUUCGAUACAAGAGCAAUUCCUUCAAAACAUUGCUGCAAAAUUGGGAAGAAAGAAAGUGAUGAAAAUCAUUUUAAAAGAUCAUUACUUACCAACAGGGUCAGAGCAAACUCAGCCACCCAAGCACGUGCAGCAUUGGUGACAAGAAUCAGUACCUCAGGGACAGUGCUCACAACAGCAGCAAGAGAUGAUGCCAGAGCAUGGUGACUUCAAUGUUGGUGGAUCCACCAGCACAGGGCUCAAGGCAGCAGCUUGGGUUUCAAGAUGACAGUCGGUGGAAAAGGCAGCAUUCGCAUUCACCGUCAGAAUCCAGAUGUCGGGCUUCAGCUGCAGUGAUGGAAGUAGGCACAGUGUCGCAUGUCUAGUAGGUUGACAGGAGCAGCAGUUGCAGCAUGGUAGGCCUGGUGUGGUACUCCUGAAAUGCAGUCGGAGCAAUGGUGGCCCCUAAGCAGGACUCCUGCAAUGCGAGGGCAUUGGUGGGCCCAAGCCUAUUGAGGAUUCCUAGAUUUGAUUACUGGCCUUGACGAUAAUUCCUGCUGUGUAAUUUUAGAACUUCUCCUUGAGCAGUCUCAAAGACCUAAACUCGUGGAUAUGGGCCCAAAAUACAGAAACAUUCUAUGUGCCACUUGCUGACAUUCAGGUGCAGGCACAGCAAGCAAGAUAUAGAAAAAUAAUGUACAACAAGAAAUCCAUUCUGAAGAUUUCAGAAUCUUUACUAUGCAUCUGACAGAUCAGAACUAACCUGGAAAUGCACAAUGACACUGAAUUUCCCCAAGUGUAGGCAUGCAGCAAUCCCAGUGGCAACAUUCCUGACCGAGUCCACAUUAAGGCACAGUAACAGUCACUCCCCGGAAAGUAGUCUGCUCACGGUGUCAUGCUACAUAACCUAGAAAUGGAUUUCCAAGUAACCACACAACAUGGUCUUGCAGCUUUCAAUGAAGUCAGUCGAAUAUUACCAUGCUCCUUCAGAACAGGCAUAUUUAAAUUGGCAAAACAAACAAAAGCAUGGAUACCCCUAGUGCCUGCAACCAUAGUCGUACAGCCUGGAAACAGACCCGUCAGUCUUUUUCUAUUUAUGUACCUGUCCAAAUGUCUUUUAAAUGUUGUAACUGUAUAUCCCCCCAUCACUCUCUC